RNAcentral lists this ribosomal RNA (835 nucleotides) under Phaeosphaeria sp. CPC 11894. RNAcentral describes it as "eukaryotic LSU rRNA". It matches the Rfam family "Eukaryotic large subunit ribosomal RNA", at positions 71 to 925 of the family's 3401-position model. Lineage: Eukaryota; Fungi; Ascomycota; Dothideomycetes; Pleosporales; Phaeosphaeriaceae. The record is from RNAcentral.
GGGAUUGCCCUAGUAACGGCGAGUGAAGCGGCAACAGCUCAAAUUUGAAAUCUGGCUCUUUCAGAGUCCGAGUUGUAAUUUGCAGAGGGCGCUUUGGCGUUGGCAGCGGUCCAAGUUCUUUGGAACAGGACGUCACAGAGGGUGAGAAUCCCGUACGUGGUCGCUAGCCUUCGCCGUGUAAAGCCCCUUCGACGAGUCGAGUUGUUUGGGAAUGCAGCUCUAAAUGGGAGGUAAAUUUCUUCUAAAGCUAAAUAUUGGCCAGAGACCGAUAGCGCACAAGUAGAGUGAUCGAAAGAUGAAAAGCACUUUGGAAAGAGAGUCAAAUAGCACGUGAAAUUGUUGAAAGGGAAGCGCUUGCAGCCAGACUUGCCUGUAGUUGCUUAUCUGGACUUUUGUCCGGUGCACUCUUCUAUAGGCAGGCCAGCAUCAGUUUGGGCGGUUGGAUAAAGGUCUCUGUCAUGUACCUCCUUUCGGGGAGGCCUUAUAGGGGAGACGACAUGCAACCAGCCUGGACUGAGGUCCGCGCAUCUGCUAGGAUGCUGGCGUAAUGGCUGUAAGCGGCCCGUCUUGAAACACGGACCAAGGAGUCUAACAUCUAUGCGAGUGUUUGGGUGUCAAGCCCAGACGCGUAAUGAAAGUGAACGGAGGUGGGAACCCUUUGGGUGCACCAUCGACCGAUCCUGAUGUCUUCGGAUGGAUUUGAGUAAGAGCAUGGCUGUUGGGACCCGAAAGAUGGUGAACUAUGCUUGAAUAGGGUGAAGCCAGAGGAAACUCUGGUGGAGGCUCGCAGCGGUUCUGACGUGCAAAUCGAUCGUCAAAUUUGGGCAUAGGGGCG